GAGUUUGAUCAUGGCUCAGGACGAACGCUGGCGGCGUGCCUAAUACAUGCAAGUCGAGCGGAGAAUUUGGAGCUUGCUCCAAUUUCUCAGCGGCGGACGGGUGAGUAACACGUGGGCAACCUGCCCUGCAGAUCGGGAUAACUCCGGGAAACCGGUGCUAAUACCGGAUAGUUUGAUGCCUCUCCUGAGGCGUCACGGAAAGACGGCGUCUCGCUGUCACUGCAGGAUGGGCCCGCGGCGCAUUAGCUAGUUGGUGGGGUAACGGCUCACCAAGGCCACGAUGCGUAGCCGACCUGAGAGGGUGAUCGGCCACACUGGGACUGAGACACGGCCCAGACUCCUACGGGACGCAGCAGA
RNAcentral lists this ribosomal RNA (357 nucleotides) under uncultured bacterium. Its description in RNAcentral is "bacterial SSU rRNA". It matches the Rfam family "Bacterial small subunit ribosomal RNA", at positions 9 to 355 of the family's 1533-position model. The record is from RNAcentral.